RNAcentral lists this ribosomal RNA (253 nucleotides) under uncultured bacterium. RNAcentral's name for it is "partial 16S ribosomal RNA". It matches the Rfam family "Bacterial small subunit ribosomal RNA", at positions 524 to 776 of the family's 1533-position model. The record is from RNAcentral.
UACGAGAGGCCCAAACGUUAUUCGGAAUUACUGGGCUUAAAGAGUUCGUAGGCGGCGCAGAAAGUAGGGUGUGAAAGCCCUCGGCUCAACCGAGGAAUUGCGCUCUAAACUACUGUGCUUGAGGAAGCUAGAGGUGAGCAGAACAGAUGGUGGAGCGGUGAAAUGCGUUGAUAUCAUCUGGAAUACCGGAGGCGAAGGCGGCUCACUGGGGCGUUUCUGACGCUGAGGAACGAAAGCCAGGGUAGCGAACGGG